This 1821-nucleotide long non-coding RNA is filed under the name Salmo salar (Atlantic salmon). RNAcentral describes it as "lncRNA (ENSSSAG00000087610.1)". The record is from RNAcentral. Lineage: Eukaryota; Metazoa; Chordata; Actinopteri; Salmoniformes; Salmonidae.
UUUCAGCUUUUCAUUUUUAAUUAAUUUGCUAACAUUUCGAAAACACAAUUCCACUUUGACAUUAUGGGUAUUGUGUGUAGGCCAGUGACACAAAAUCUAAAUGUAAUCAAUUUUAAAUGCAGGCUGUAACACAACAAAAUGUGGAAAAAGUCAAGGGGUGUGAAUACUUUCUGAAGGCACUGUAGUUCCUUCGAGAACUAAUGUGUGUUUUUAUACUUUCUGAGCUGUUCAACCUUUAUUAGGGCAUCCUGGGAAACACUGACCAAAAUUGUGGUUCCUACUUUGUCACACUAUCGUUGUUGUCUGUAUUGACUAUCUAUGAAUGAAUGAAACCAAGGACUCAUGGUGAAACUCACCAUUUCCUGAUUCUGCUUUAAUGAGUUGUAUUUCUCACCCCAUCCAUUUUUUUAUUAUUAUAUCCAAUGAUAUGAAAAGGGAACAAAUGUUUAAGGUUACCGAACAUUUUCAUACUUCAGAAUUUUCUAAAUUCCGUCAUUGUUUUAGAAAAAAAACAUGCAAAGACAAGUAAACAAACAUCAGAACUGUAAAUUUUGACACAAAUACAUGCAUUCGUUUUUAUUCACAAAACCAGUCCAAUUUUCUAAAUGAAUACAAACAUCGCUGUUGUUUUAAAAGAUGUAGCUACCAGCAACAUAAUGAAAAAAAAAAAAAAAAACUGAAAUAAAACAUAAAGAAAUCUUGUUUCAGUGCGUUCAAAUGGGUAGACCCAGAGCUAAGCUAUUCCAAAUGGAAGUGCUGUCUCCUAGUGCUGUCGCCCUCUGUGCUAUUCCAAAUGGAAGUGCUGUCUCCCUCUGUGUUGGGAUCCUCAUGACACACACUAGUUUGGGCCACAGGAACGUAAGGCUGCCAGUUUCACAAAAUAAAAAAGCUUGGAAAUACAGGCGUGGAAAACACGGUUGGUUGGUUUGUUGGUUGGAGAGAUUCCAGUUCUCUGGAGGAUAGCAUCAUCCUGCUAAAGAGUCCCCUAGACUUCUGCCCGAUGGGAUAACAGUUGCUAUUUCAUUUCGAUAAGUAUUUUUACAUUUGGAAAUAUUUCCUUUUUCUUUUAAAAGACAACCAUUGAUCCGUUUCAAAACAAUAUUCUUAAAACAAAACAAAUCAUGAAAUAGACGGGUUUAAGUUUAAGAACAAUGGUGCUAAAUUACAAUAGUGCCUGCCAUUAGCCACUAGCUUUAAAAUAUAGCCGUAAAUGUACAUUCUCUACACAAGUACUGUAUCUUUCCACACGUGAACAACAUUAACACCAAACACACAAAUUAGUUGAUUGUCCACACUCAGUCCGUCAUUUCUGUUUGGCAAUGAACAGUUCCAUGUCUAAGCGACAGAAAAAACCUGCUGGAAAAAGGACAAAAGGUACCAAAAUGGAAACAUAGAAAAGGGAAUGAAAGUUGCCAUAGAUAUUUUUCUUUAUGUUAAAUUUUUGGUUCAAGGAAUAAGCAGGUGCAUCCAUUACUCAAUUGAUUAUUUUGUAUAAUUUCUGUUUAGUUUUUUUGUAUAUUUUUGUUGUUUGUUUGCUUGUCAGCCAGUGUCCGUGCCGAGACAAUCCAAGCGAGAGUUGGCAUUGCACUUGAUCGCAGAGCUUUGGGUUUGGGUGGGUAGGUAGGGGUAAGGGUGGAGGAGGGUCAGAGUCUUACUGGAACCAUCGGAAUGCUGCUCCUGUAGGAAGCAUCACCUUCUUAGAGAAACAAAAAAACAGAGAGAGCAGAGGGAAGGAGAGGGUUAGUAGAUACAGGCUGAAGAAGACAACACAUCCCGAGACCCAUUCUAAACUGCAACAUCUGCAGUUUGUAUUCUCUCUCU